This 462-nucleotide ribosomal RNA is filed under the name uncultured bacterium. Its description in RNAcentral is "partial 16S ribosomal RNA". It matches the Rfam family "Bacterial small subunit ribosomal RNA", at positions 339 to 795 of the family's 1533-position model. The record is from RNAcentral.
CUACGGGUUGCACCAGUCGAGAAUCUUCCGCAAUGGACGAAAGUCUGACGGAGCGACGCCGCGUGCGGGAUGAAGGCCUUCGGGUUGUAAACCGCUGUCAGUGGGGAGGAAAUGCAUCAGGGUUCUCCCUGGUGUUUGACCGAUCCGCAGAGGAAGCGCAGGCGUAAGUUCGUGCCAGCAGCCGCGGUAACACGAACUGCGCGAACGUUAUUCGGAAUCACUGGGCUUAAAGAGUUCGUAGGCGGCCUUUCAAGUCGGGUGUGAAAUCCCUCGGCUCAACCGGGGAAUUGCGCCUGAUACUGUUGGGCUUGAGGGGGAUAGGGGUGAGCGGAACUGAUGGUGGAGCGGUGAAAUGCGUUGAUAUCAUCAGGAACACCGGUGGCGAAGGCGGCUCACUGGAUCUCUUCUGACGCUGAGGAACGAAAGCUAGGGGAGCGAACGGGAUUAGAUACCCCUGUAGUC